Molecule: unclassified non-coding RNA, 2234 nt
Filed under: Hevea brasiliensis (rubber tree)
Lineage: Eukaryota; Viridiplantae; Streptophyta; Magnoliopsida; Malpighiales; Euphorbiaceae
Source: RNAcentral
UCUCAGAUUAAAAUUGAUAAAUUUUUAUAAUACAAAUUAAGAGCCGAACCUAAACCUCCCAACACUUAAGAAAAUGGAUGCAGUAAUUUUGAAUCCACAUCAUAUGUGGUGAUGUUAUAGCUCAAUGUAAUGUUGCGCCUUUAUCCAAACAAAAAGUGGGUAUUUAAACGAAUGGAGGAACUACCAUCAAAAGACCAAGCCCUGCAUGUGUUCUACCAUGAUCUUUCCAGUGACAUUAUCCAUCUAAAUUCUAACUCAUAAUACCCCAAAAUUACAAGAGCCCAACAAGAAACUGUUGAUGCAAGCAAAUAUCCAUAAUAAGUUAUGAAAUCAACUUAUUCGCAUGGCUUCAAGAUGGUAUCUCUCCAAUUCAGCAUCAAGCUUGUCUGCAGUUAACUCCUCACCAUGGCGUCUCUCUUGCCCUUGGAACCUGGCAUAUCCUCGACCACGAAAACCACCACGUCCCCAUCCCCUAGCUCUAUAGCUUCCUUGAUCACUGUCAAGUGACAGUCGAAAACAUGUUAAUUGAGGAUAGAUGUAUAACUAAUUGAGGAUAGAUGUAUAAUAUUGUUAAGACACUCUAAAGCAUGCAGAAACAAAAGAUUAAAAAUGAGGAAAGCAAACUGUCGUUCACAGUUCAACGAUCACAAACACAAACAUCAACAAAUGGGUAUUUUUUUUCCCCCUUUAAUGAGGCAUAAGCCAAGUUCAAGAUACUAAGCAAAUUUUAGCAUACCCUUUGUAAAAGGCAUGCUGAAAAUGACAAUAAAAUUCACCUUGGUUAUUCAGUCCCUUUUCCCCCUUUCCCACCAAUGAGAUGUAUUCAGAUGUACUGCCGACCUCAUGAGGUGGAGUUAUUGCAUGUGGCCACUCACUGCUCCAUAACACAUGAUUGCAUGAGCACAUGCUAAUGCACUUACACCAUGUUACUUUCACUCAAUCAAUUUAAAAACAGAGGAAUAGAAAGAUAAUUGAAAACAAAGUACCUGCUUACCACUUGCUAACUGAUUUUUCAUUAUUUCAGAAAGCAAGAUUGACCAGAAAUCAAACUUGCUAAAAGCUCCUAAUGAAGCAGCCAUAUCAUAUGAAACACUUCAUAUUAACAAUUGUACAGAGCUUGUGACAAAAGAAAUCAAUCACUACCUGUUAUUAUCAGGAUAGGACAAAUAAGUGAUUUCACCCGGUUAUUUGAUGUUAAUUUGUUUAUUGUUACACAUGAUUCAUCAGGUUUUAAACAAGAAAUGACAUCAAAUGGGAAAAUACUAAAAAAAAAGCAGUGGAAGUAAGAAAUAAAACCUAUAUUUCCAGAAUGAAUUCAAUUUACAAAACAUCUUGGGGCAUCAAGACCCAGUCACAGACAUAACCUUGAAAAGAGGCACAAAACGCAAAGUUAGACUCAUUUAUACACAUAUAUGCUCAACAAUUUUAUUUUUUCAAUUGCUGUGCGUUAAAAUGGCAGCUUAGUAUUAAGAUUUACAAAGUCAAUGGCUCCACAUUUGGCAUGUGGAUUGUUAAUAAUUAUGCAAAAACAACAGGAAUAAAACAAGAAACGCUAUACCUUCUAAAGGCACCAUGCGAUUUUCCCAUGUUACUAGAUGCAGUUACAGGCAUAGGAGGAGCAAAUAAAUUAACUCCAACAAGUUCAAUUUUCAUUGGCUUCCCAUCAAGCUGAACAUUGUUGUACCUCUCGAUAGCUGCUAGAGCAUCUGUCUGGCGUGAAAAGACAACUUCAGCUGUCCCCUUUGAUCUUCCACUUUUAUCAUAAUGGAUUGAGUACCUUUUCAAUUCACCGACAUCAGAGAAAAGCAACUUAAUAUCAUCAUUAGAAACACCAUAAUCCAACUCUGAUAUGUAGAGCUUAGUGCCUGACUCCCCAUUAGCCUCUCCACUAGGAAGCAUUAUCGGCUCCGGAACUACCAUUGGAGGCAGCAUUGGGUAGGGUCUGUGCCUGAUCGGGUCACGCUGGAAAAACCGGCGAUUAGGGCCAGGAGCGGAGCCAGAACGGGAGGCUCCGCCUCUGUCUCCACCUCUAAAAUGAUUGUUGUUACGUUCUCCUCCUCGAUAUCCCCUGCACCUGUGGAUUAUGUCAUCGAGAGACAUGUCGAGAGAGCUCGACAUUGUUAGGGUCUGUUUGGAUGGGAGUGAGGGAAGUGUAAGUGACGGAGAGAUUGAGAGAUUGAGAGCGACGAAGUAGUAGAAGCGUAGGGUUUAGUAGCCCUCCUCCUCGAUAUCCC